This 249-nucleotide ribosomal RNA is filed under the name uncultured bacterium. Its description in RNAcentral is "partial 16S ribosomal RNA". It matches the Rfam family "Bacterial small subunit ribosomal RNA", at positions 524 to 776 of the family's 1533-position model. The record is from RNAcentral.
UACGGGGGGGCAAGCGUUGUUCGGAAUUACUGGGCGUAAAGGGCUCGUAGGUGGCCAACUAAGUCAGACGUGAAAUCCCUCAGCUUAACUGGGAACUGCGUCUGAUACUGGAUGGCUUGAGUUCGGAGAGGGAUGCGGAAUUCCAGGUGUAGCGGUGAAAUGCGUAGAGAUCAUGAGGAAGACCAGUGGCGAAGGCGGGUCUCUGGACAGUUCCUGACACUGAGGCACGAAGGCCAGGGAGCAAACGGG